RNAcentral lists this ribosomal RNA (444 nucleotides) under uncultured bacterium. RNAcentral's name for it is "partial 16S ribosomal RNA". It matches the Rfam family "Bacterial small subunit ribosomal RNA", at positions 354 to 796 of the family's 1533-position model. The record is from RNAcentral.
GUAGGGAAUAUUGGGCAAUGGUCGGAAGACUGACCCAGCCAUGCCGCGUGCAGGAAGACGGCCCUCUGGGUUGUAAACUGCUUUUAUCUGGGAAGAAAAAGGCCAUGCGUGGCAAAUUGCCGGUACCAGAUGAAUAAGCACCGGCUAACUCCGUGCCAGCAGCCGCGGUAAUACGGAGGGUGCGAGCGUUGUCCGGAUUUAUUGGGUUUAAAGGGUGCGUAGGCGGCUGAUUAAGUCAGCGGUGAAAGACUUCGGCUUAACCGGAGCAGUGCCGUUGAUACUGGUUGGCUUGAGUGUCGGAGGGGUACAUGGAAUUGAGGGUGUAGCGGUGAAAUGCAUAGAUACCAUCAGGAACACCGAUAGCGAAGGCAUUGUACUGGCCGACAACUGACGCUGAUGCACGAAAGUGUGGGGAUCGAACAGGAUUAGAUACCCGAGUAGUCC